AUGGAGCUCCCAUGGCUUCUCCUUCCCACAGCUAUUCUCCUUCCUGUCGUUUUAUUCCUCCUCUCAAUUGCAUGGAACCGCCGCUUACCGCCGGGGCCGGCCAGCCUGCCUUGGCUUGGAAACUUGCUAUAUUUACAGCACUUUGACGAAGACUCCAUGGACAUCCUGAACGCUGAGAGGCGCCUCCAUGCGCGCUACGGCCCGGUUCUCGGCCUCCAAGUGGGCAACCGCCUGCAGGUUAGCGUGGCAGACCGCUACCUCGCCCACACUGCGCUGGUCGGCCAUGGCACCGCCCUGGCUGAUCGGCCGGACUACGCCGUGCGCAACUUCGGUGGCCUGAACGCCAUCACCAUCACGUCCGCCAACUACGGCCCAAUCUGGCGCCUCUUCCGUAGAAACUUGGUGGCUGAGAUCGCGCACCCGGCCAGGCUCCGGCUGUUCGCGCCGCUGCGGGCGUCCGUGCUUGCUGACAUGACGGACAAGCUAUGGCGCCAGCAGCAGGAAGCAGGAAACACGGGCGUCGCCGUCAGGGACACCUUUCUGCUCGCCAUGUUCCACCUCUUGGUGGCCAUGUGCUUCGGCGAGCGGGUUGACGAUGGCGUUGUGCGCGAGAUUAUCUCUGCGCUGCGUGAGCUCAUGAUCUACUCCUUGACCAAGCUGAGGGUCUUGGACUACCUCCCGGCGGUCACGACGCGCCUCUUCCGCGGCCGACUGGAUGCCAUGCACGCUAUGCGCAGCAAGCUCAAGGAGAUGUACUUGCCCUUGAUCGAUGCCCGGAGGGAGCGCAAGAAGCUGCUUUCCAGCAGCCAACCGCCGUCUCCUCAGAAUCAGGAUGAGACGAGGACGUUGCCGCACUGCUACGUGGACUCGUUGCUCGACCUCAGGCUCGACUCCGAGAGCGGCCGCCCUCUCACUGACGACGAGGUACUUGCCAUGUGCUCCGAGCUGCUGAUACAAGGGACAGACACCACAGCCACGGCGCUAGAGUGGAUCAUGGCCGAGCUGGUGAAGAAUCAGCACGUCCAGGACAAGCUCUUCGAUGAGAUCUCAAUUGGUACAGAUCCCGACGAUCUACACCGGCCAGAGGGCCUGCACAAGAUACAGUACCUCCGGGCGGUGGUGCUUGAGGGCCUCCGGCGCCACCCACCCGGGCACCAGGUGGUGAUGCACGCUGCGGCUGAGGACAUGGAGAUCGGUGGGUGCGUGAUCCCCAGGGGCACGCCAGUGAACUUCAUGGUGGCCGACAUGGCCCUGGAUGAGAAGACUUGGGACCGGCCACGAGAGUUCCUACCGGAGCGGUUCCUCGCGGGAGGUGACGGCGAUGGGGUUGACAUCACCGGCACCAAGGAGAUCAAGAUGAUGCCAUUCGGAGCCGGGCGGAGGAUCUGUCCGGGGCUAGGCGUCGCCACCAUGCACCUCGAGUACUUAGUGGAGAACCUAGUGCGUGCGUUUUACUGGCGGGCGGUUGAAGGGGAAGAGGUGGACGUCGUCUCUGAGGAGGCCCAGUUCACCGUCGUCAUGAAGAAACCGCUCUGUGUUCGCCUCGUGCAGAGAGCUGCCAUUUAA
This 1566-nucleotide ribosomal RNA is filed under the name Triticum aestivum (bread wheat). Its description in RNAcentral is "partial small subunit ribosomal RNA". The record is from RNAcentral. Lineage: Eukaryota; Viridiplantae; Streptophyta; Magnoliopsida; Poales; Poaceae.